UGUGGUCAAGUUAGAAAGGGCACACGGUGGAUGCCUUGGCAAUUGGAGCCGAUGAAGGACGUAGUAAGCAACGAAAAGCUUCGGUCAGGCGCUUACAGCCGUAGCCGGAGAUGUCCGAAUGGGGCAACCCUCUGCAGGAAGACUGCAGAACUCCCAUAUGAAUCUAUAGUAUGGGUAGAGGCAAGCCGCUGAACUGAAACAUCUAAGUAAGCGGAGGAGAAGAAAGCGAAUGCGAUUCCCCAAGUAGUGGCGAGCGAAACGGGAACAGCCUAAACCGGUUCUGUUUAUUCAAAAGGUGAGAAGCACCCCGAGAGGGGAUAAGCUGUCCCUGAAGCCGUGUGCCUACAAGCAGUCGGAGCCCUACGAUUUAUUCAGGGUGACGGCGUGCCUUUUGUAGAAUGACCCUGGGAGUUAUUGUAUGCAGCAAGGUUAAGGCCGGAGGGCCGCAGCCGUAGCGAAAGCGAGUCUGAAAAGGGCGUCAAGUUGCAUGCAGUACACCCGAAACCGAGUGAUCUACCCAUGGACAGGCUGCAGGCGCUGUAAAAGGCGUUGAAGGGCCGAACCAGUGGCGGUUGAAAACGCUUUGGAUGAGCUGUGGGUAGUGGUGAAACGCUAAACGAACUCGGAUAUAGCUGGUUCUCCCCGAAAUAGUUCGAGGAUUAGCCUCGCAUGUUCAACAACGGUGGUAAAGCACUGAAAGGGUUAGGGGGCCCACAAGCCUACCGACCCCUAUCAAACUCUGAAUGCCGUUGUUUUAGAGUGCGGGAGUGAGACGGGCGGAGAUAAGUUUGUUCGUCGAGAGGGAAACAGCCCAGACCGUCAGUUAAGGUCCCCAAGUUCUGGCUAAGUGGUUAACGAGGUGAUUUUGCUCAGACAAUCAGGAGGUUGGCUUAGAAGCAGCCACCCUUUAAUAAACCUAAGGUUUCAUGGACAAGGUUCGUCCUUCCAUGUUUAGGCGGGAGCUAAGGCGAGGCCGAAGGGCGUAGUCGAUGCACAGCAGGUUGAUAUUCCUGCCCCGCUCAUAAAUUGUAACUCAUGCGUCGGUUGGUUAGCCUACUCCCACGUGGAGACGGCCUUUAUUUAAAGGAAGGUCGCGAGAGCUUAGCUCGUAGUGGUGAAACCUAUACGGCCCGGAAAAGUGAGUUGCGCUAGUUUAUGAGCGCCCGUACCGCAAACCGACACAGGUAGGUGAGGAGAGUAUCCUCAGGCGCGCGAGAGAACCCACGUUAAGGAACUCGGCAAUCUGUACCCGUAACUUUGGAAGAAGGGUAGCCCCGCACUGGUGAGUAUCUUUACGGUACGAAGCGAGAGGGGGCCGCAGAGAAUCGGCUCAAGCGACUGUUUACCAAAAACAUAGGUCUCUGCGAAGUCGCAAGACGACGUAUAGGGGCUGAUGCCUGCCCAAUGCCGGAAUGUUAAGAGGAGAGGUUAGUCGCAAGGCGAAGCUUUGAAUUGAAGCACCGGUCAAUGGCGGCCGUAACUAUAACGGUCCUAAGGUAGCGAAAUUCCUUGUCGGGUAAGUUCCGACCUGCACGAAUGGCAUAACGACUUGAGCGCUGUCUCAACGUGGGA
RNAcentral lists this ribosomal RNA (1572 nucleotides) under Pseudomonadota bacterium. Its description in RNAcentral is "Proteobacteria bacterium partial 23S ribosomal RNA". It matches the Rfam family "Bacterial large subunit ribosomal RNA", at positions 1 to 2031 of the family's 2925-position model. The record is from RNAcentral. Lineage: Bacteria; Pseudomonadati; Pseudomonadota.